RNAcentral lists this ribosomal RNA (253 nucleotides) under uncultured bacterium. RNAcentral's name for it is "partial 16S ribosomal RNA". It matches the Rfam family "Bacterial small subunit ribosomal RNA", at positions 524 to 776 of the family's 1533-position model. The record is from RNAcentral.
UACGGAGGAUCCAAGCGUUAUCCGGAUUCAUUGGGUUUAAAGGGUGCGUAGGCGGACUGAUAAGUCAGCGGUGAAAUCUCUCGGCUUAACCGAGAAACUGCCGUUGAUACUGUCAGUCUCGAGUACAGAUGAUGUGGGCGGAAUAUGACAUGUAGUGGUGAAAUACUUAGAUAUAUCAUAGAACACCGAUUGCGAAGGCAGCUCACAAAACUGUCACUGACGCUGAGGCACGAAAGCGUGGGGAUCAAACAGG